This 481-nucleotide ribosomal RNA is filed under the name uncultured bacterium. RNAcentral describes it as "bacterial SSU rRNA". It matches the Rfam family "Bacterial small subunit ribosomal RNA", at positions 32 to 521 of the family's 1533-position model. The record is from RNAcentral.
AAUCAACGCUGGCGGCGUGCCUCAGACAUGCAAGUCGAACGAUUAAAGCUCUCUUCGGAGAGUGUAUAGAGUGGCGCACGGGUGAGUAACACGUAAGUAAUCUACCUUUGAGUGGGGAAUAACAAUCGGAAACGAUUGCUAAUACCGCAUAAUGCAGCGGCAUCGCAAGAUGACAGUUGUUAAAGGAGCAAUCCGCUUAAAGAGGAGCUUGCGGCAGAUUAGCUAGUUGGUAAGGUAAUGGCUUACCAAGGCUACGAUCUGUAACCGGUCUAAGAGGACGGUCGGUCACACUGACACUGAAUAACGGGUCAGACUCCUACGGGAGGCAGCAGUCGGGAAUUUUGGGCAAUGGGCGAAAGCCUGACCCAGCAACGCCGCGUGAAGGAUGAAGUAUUUCGGUAUGUAAACUUCGAAAGAAUAGGAAGAAUCAAUGACGGUACUAUUUAUAAGGUCCGGCUAACUACGUGCCAGCCGCCGCAGU